UGGCCGAUCAACACACACACAAACACUUACACGCACAUGAGCAGCUCACGCAGUCACAAUCCACCGAGAGCGAACACGUAAAGCACAGGUCUAAGCCGCGGCCUCCGUACAGGCCACCAUCGCACGACGAAGGCGGCGAGAAAGAAAGGAGGUGGGGGCUUAUAGCCUCUCUCUUCUCGACAGCGACGCACCAAUAGAGGUCCUCCAACAACAAAACAAAGAGAGGAGGAGGAGGCGACGGUGACGCGACUGAGCGACAGCACGGCGACGUGUGUGUGUGUGUAUCGUUUACGCUUCUCGCCUUCCUUGCUAUUGCUGUUGUUCUCGUUGGGUGUGCGAGGGCGAGGCAGGCGGGCAAGAGCGGCUGCGGCACUUCGCUUGCUCGUCUCCUUCGGACCCACUUCGUCCUGCAUUCACCCCUGCCCGCUCUCUUCUGCACGUCCCCGCCCUCACGAGCACAGACGCCAGAAGACGCAGGUGUGUGGGGAGGGGAGUCGACAAAAAGGCUCUCCUCCGAUCCUCCCGCCCUCCCCUUCCAUGCCAUCUUUCUCGUUUUCACGCACCACAGUCGCGUAGGCCCCAUCGUCUUCCUCCUCAGACACUCGCACAGCCCGUCAUUUUCUUUUGCAAGGACGUCUCAGCCCUCCUAGCGGCAUGCCCGGGUGUCACGUACCUCCUGCAAGACCGACGCCGCGCGUCGGCGCCCGCUCAUUUGAGGACAGCUCGCUGAUUUCUUCCACAUCUCCGCCGGCAAGCACCAUACCCGACGCUACCUGCAAGCGUGCAUCAAGUCUCAGUAGAAUUCAACUACAACAGCGCCGGGAGGAGCAGCUGCGCCAUGCCCUAGAGCGCACAAGCCCGUCCCAGGCGGAGGUAUCUGCCGUAGCCGGCGCGGCCUACGUGCAGGCGCUGAUGGCGCUCAUUGAUCAGCAUGAGACGACUGUGCAGCAGGUGAUAGAUAAGAUCGACUUCCUGCGCAGGGAACGAGAGGCUCGAUACACUGAAUUCAAGCAGGAAACGCAGCAGCGUGAGGUUGAGCUGCAGCACCUGCGUAACGAGCGCUCCGACCUGUCUCUGCAGGUACAGGAGGAACGUGAGCGGUCGACGCGGCUGCUGCACGAGAACACAGCACUCUACGCGCAUCAAGCCGAGCAGCGAGAGCAACUUGGAAAGCUUGUGGAGUUGUGCCGCGCACGCGGGCAGCGACUGCGCGCUCUCAGCAACCAAAAUUCCAGAGUAGCGGGGAGCACCUCGCACCGGCGUCGGCCUCCAUCGACCGACGCCGGUGCAUCAACAGGGGCUUCGUGUGACGACGCGAGAGCCGCAGAUGUCGGGGAUGAAGAGAACACUCUAGAGCUGAGCAGGACGGAGGUUGGCACAAAGGGCGCUGGAGCCCCCGCAAUGGCGGCCCCCUGCUCGCCUUCGCCUGCGCUCGCGUCUCCACCGGCAUCGAUGAGCAUACACAAGGCUGUUGGUGCCACCACCUCUGCUCGACGUCCAGCACUGUCGCCGUCGCCGGCUGCGCUGGGCACUGUCGCCGAAGAUGCCGAGAUGGCAGCGUUGCUCAACGUGCCGUACAAGUUGCAGGUGCCCAGCACUCCGUUUGGUCCGUCGGCGCACACCAUCACGGCGAACACGGCAGCCGCAACGCACCUGCUGGCUCUCAACGAAGAAGUAAAUAUGCUUCGCCAGCAACUGGAGGAGCAGCGCAUCACGUACGAGCAGGAGCGUGGCGUGAGGACGACUGAGAACGACGAGCUACACCGUCAGCAUCUCGAGAAGGAGGCCAAAUACCUCGCAACGAUCGAUCAGCUCGAAGUGCUGCAUGAGGAGAGCCUGCGCGACUUGGUGCAGUAUCGCCACACCACAGAAAAGCAGCUUCGCGAUGUUCGCGGGCAGGUGGAUUGGCUGCGCGCAGCACUACAGGAGGCGCUCGAUCUGGCGGAGAAGGAGCGUCGCCGGCAGCACAACGAGGUCUACGCUACAGAGCAGCGUAUGUCACGCCAGUAUUACCCCAAGGUGCAGUCCUUGCACGCAGAGCUGGAGGAAUGCCGCCGCGGUGCCCUCGCACAAGCGCAGGAAAACGCCAAAGCCAUUGCUCAAAAAGAUGCGCUCGUGGCCGAGCUGCGGCAGAAGCUCAAGGCUGAGGUGAGCCACCGAAGGCGCAUUGAGGAGCGCUACAAGCUGGAGAUGAAGGGUGUGCACAGCGAGCUGGACCUGAUGCGGCAGUCACUGCGGCAGAUGGAGCGGCGGGUGUACUACCGCGAUGUGCGCGAUCAGGCCUCCGAGGAGGCACAGCACGAGCUUGAGCGGUACUAUGUCUAGAAACGCCAAAGAGCCGCCUCAGAAUCGUUGGCGGGGAGGAAAAGGGGGUGGCAGAGGAUCGGAAGAGGCAGGAACGUGCAUACAUGAAGCGAGAAGCCGAGCAGCAGCGACGCAGGAGCAGUCCACACCAUGUCGAGCGGCUCGUUGUUUCGAAUAUGGUGCCUGUGUGUCUGUAUCGAACUACCUAUCUCCCUGUUACGCGGUCUUCUCCCAUUCUCUUUUCGGCUUGACCAUACGCCGUGCUCGUACUCGCCGAUCGUCAAGCAUUUUCGCUCUCGCUACCUCGCAGGGGAGAGGAGGGGGUCCGUCUUUUCAUGUCCACUUCUUUCAUGGCUUGGCACGCAUACCUCUUCGCCUCGCGCCUUAGCUCCUCGGCUGCAGUGAAGGUGAACUGGUAAGCGCGCUCGCUUGCGUGAUCUCUCCUCGCUUGUGUUCGUUGCCUUUUCUGGUGUACUUUCUCUCUGCUGUGUGUGUGUGUGUGUGUGUGUGUGUGUCGCUGCUUUUCCUUUUCCGUUGUGCGCGCGUGUAGACCUUAGAUCUGUGCCAAGGGAAGGGAGGCGUGAAGAGGCCUUCCCUGCUGAGGUGCAAAGAGAGACCGCCACAAGUGCUAGAAAGAACCGACACAACAGC
Molecule: unclassified non-coding RNA, 2955 nt
Filed under: Leishmania donovani
Lineage: Eukaryota; Euglenozoa; Kinetoplastea; Trypanosomatida; Trypanosomatidae
Description: gene:LdHU3.11.0920(CDS-product:hypothetical_prote in_conserved)
Source: RNAcentral